This is a long non-coding RNA of Tribolium madens (black flour beetle), 477 nucleotides long. RefSeq lists it as uncharacterized. The transcript has 2 exons. NCBI's taxonomy places the organism in Eukaryota, Metazoa, Arthropoda, Insecta, Coleoptera, Tenebrionidae. The record is from RefSeq and is a predicted model, not a curated record.
UUGGACGUGAUAAAACAAACCCAAGCUCGAAAUUGAUGGGAUUUACAUCAAUUUUGGGGCGAAAUUAGUGUCCCUGAAUCCAGUUUUGGGCUAUUUUAAUCGAAAACAUUGGUAAUUACUGUGUAAAUAACGAAAUUGAAGUUUUUGUUUUUAGGUUACGUAACCUCACUUUUUUGCUCGAUUUUUUACGUUAAUGCCUGUUUUUGUGGUGAUAAUUGGACAAGAACGAAGCCUUUGCCCCAUUUUGCGUCGUAAACAGGUUUUUUUGUGCAAAAAGCUUGUGUUUUGCAAAAAAUUGGUCAAAACGGUUAUCUCGUAACUCCUGGAAUUUUCAGGGUUUUUUUACCUGAAUUGGGCUCUGAGACAUUUUACAUAAGAACUUGCCAUUUUUGUGUUUCCCCGAGUGUCAAUUUUCCGGAAAAAUGAAAACUUUUUGCUAAAAAAACGCUUUUUUGCUUAAGAAAGUGUCACAAUGUU